RNAcentral lists this ribosomal RNA (292 nucleotides) under uncultured bacterium. RNAcentral describes it as "partial 16S ribosomal RNA". RNAcentral also lists the same sequence under 2 other names. The record is from RNAcentral.
GGACUACAAGGGUAUCUAAUCCCGUUUGCUCCCCUAGCUUUCGCGCCUCAGCGUCAGAAGAGGUCCAGCACGCCGCUUUCGCCACCGGCGUUCCUUCCGAUAUCUACGCAUUUCACCGCUCCACCGGAAGUUCCACAUGCCCCUACCUCGCUCAAGACGACCAGUAUCAGAAGCUGUUUUCCGGUUAAGCCGAAAGAUUUCACCCCUGACUUGGCCGCCCGCCUACGCGCCCUUUAAGCCCAGUGAUUCCGAACAACGUUCGCACGGUUCGUCUUACCGCGGCUGCUGGCAC